UGCCAGCCGCCGCGGUAAUACGAAGGGGGCGAGCGUUGUUCGGAAUUACUGGGCUUAAAGAGUUCGUAGGUGGUUGAAAAAGUUAGUGGUGAAAUCCCAGAGCUUAACUCUGGAACUGCCAUUAAAACUUUUCAGCUAGAGUAUGAUAGAGGAAAGCAGAAUUUCUAGUGUAGAGGUGAAAUUCGUAGAUAUUAGAAAGAAUACCAAUUGCGAAGGCAGUUCACUGGACCGUGAUCGACGCUGAGGAGCGAAAGCUAGGGGAGCAAACAGGAUUAGAUA
This 279-nucleotide ribosomal RNA is filed under the name uncultured bacterium. RNAcentral describes it as "partial 16S ribosomal RNA". It matches the Rfam family "Bacterial small subunit ribosomal RNA", at positions 506 to 784 of the family's 1533-position model. The record is from RNAcentral.